Long non-coding RNA from Parus major (Great Tit), 2492 nucleotides. RefSeq lists it as uncharacterized. The record is from RefSeq and is a predicted model, not a curated record. The transcript is spliced from 3 exons. Lineage: Eukaryota; Metazoa; Chordata; Aves; Passeriformes; Paridae.
CUUGGUUUAGAUCAGUGGGGAAACCACCAACCUGGAUGAAAGUUGGCCUAUUGUAAGAAGAAGCACUUAAUCUCCUCAGAGAAGGGGCUUCAGAAUUUGCUCUACCAACACUUGACUGAAACAUCUGUGUAUUUUUGGAUGUGUUUUCUGUCCAAACUGUUGGUUGAAAUACAGGAGACCAUUUUCUAGUAUGCUAUGAAUGAGAAAUACUCCAGAUGAAAGAAGAUUAUUAUACUUGCCUUCAGGCUCGGAGAAUAGAUUGCUGCUAAACCUAGUGAAGACUCCCCCUGUUAAUCCUUCAGACCUGGAUGUAAGAAGCUCACAAGAACAUGAACCAGAAUGCUACAAAUUUUAUCUUCUUUAUAGGUCUGUUAUAUGGCUUAUCCAGCAGAAGUUCUUCUGUAUAAAGCAAGCAAAUGAAAUGCAGACUUCUGCUGUUACACCACACUGGUACCCUUAUAAGGUCACUUAAUAGGUAACAGAAAACAUUUUGACAGUCACAGAUUAUUUCCAUUGGAAAAGCAGCACUUGUUGUAAGAUAAGGUUGUAGUUCAGAACCAGACUCCUCUAGACAGGAAGAAACUAAGCCAAAUCUAAAAGAGAACUACAAAAUUCAGUGAAAUCCACAAGGUGACAUUAAAGGAAUUGUUAUAUUUUUAUGAUUUUGCUUCUUAAUUUGCAUGGUGAUGGGUAUGAAGUGACAAAAAUCCCAACUUACUAUCUGUUCUGCCUCUCCCUUGAUGAAUUUAUGCACGUAGGAUAAAUGUAGACUUAGCAUAACAAUAAUGCCACUAUUCUUUCCCAUGUCCCAGGUCUAAAAUUCCAGCAAAAUUGCACAGGAAUUUCACAAGAUAGGAUUUUUGGAUUUGACCAUUUCAUUGUGUCCAUAUUUAUAGCUGAAUUGUAUUUUUUUUCCAAAAAAGUGUAACACAAAUUAUUACAAAAUGGAAACAAAGCAGUAAUCUGUUGUAUUGUUGCUACUCUAGAGCACACCCACUAGUUUUUCCUUAUGAGCUAGUCCUUUUGAGUUUUUACAACAUAUUUCCACUAAGCACAUCUAUUGCUGCUGAAUCUAUCUUUGAUGUUACUGGAAUUCUUCACAUUAAAUGAGUCAAAGUUUCAAAGCUGUAGUUACCUGUGGAGACUGGUACAAUUCAUUUCAUACAUUUACUGCUCAUUAGCACGUGUAUGAAGCAGUUUCUUGCACCUUGUAUAUCUGUAAUGAAUAUUAAACCAUCUCAUCUACUCAUAAUAAUAUAAUAGCUCCUGUGAUGACAGACUCUGUUUGCACAGGAAGCAGAUGUUGAUGUUUACCUAGAUGUAAUUUGCAAUGAUGAGUGGUGGUGAGAUGAGGUUUUUUCCUGCCAAAACAAUUCAGUCUAUGUUAAGCUUCUGCAAAAUCUUUUGCAUGCCAUUGUGGACUCUUAGGUCAUUAUAGAUAUCCAUAUUAUCACAUAUUAUCACCUUGAAUAAUUGUGGAUCUUAAUUUUAAUAUUAAUCAAGAUAUUAAAUUAUGCAUAUAAGAAAACUGUUUAGUUAAAGAGGUAUUUACCAAGUCGCUGUAAUGUGAUGUCCAGGAAAAGUUCUGGGUAAACUUCAAACCAAAGAUGAAAAUAGUAUUUUUCAGGGUCAUAAAUGUAUUUCUGACAAAUAAAUAUGGUAUAAAUUAUUCAAAAAGAGUGUCACUGUCUAGAAAAUGAGAUCAGUAACUCCUAAGGUUGAAAUAAAACACAUUUAUUUUGGUAGAGGUGUGCCAUACACUACAGUGAAUUACAAAAGGAUGAUAUGAAUUUUGAUCAUUUGGAACCUUUAAAUCCAGGUUUAAAAUUUUUCUAAAAGAUACUUUUUUGUUCAAUUUAACAAAAAUUAAUGAAUGAUAUUUUCUAACCUGUGGUAUGCCAGAGGUAAAAAGAGUGAUAUUGGGAUUUCUUUUGGUUUUAGUAUCUGUAAAAUCUAUUAUAUAAUGAAAUAUAAUCAGAUAACCACAUCUAUUUUGGUUCUGAAUUCUAGAUAUAUUUUUUUUACUUUCGGACAUAAUUUACUACUUUAGACAAAUAAUUCUAAUUUUGAAUUUGGAGCUGUUGUUCCCUAUGUCCAGUUCUUCUGUCAGCUCUUUCUAAUCCUAAAACAUGUUCCUCAUUUUUAUGCUCAUAUUUGAAAUUUGGGACAUAACACUUUUUUGAUGAACAUUAAUUUAUCCUAUGAGUUUCAGGCCCACUUCUCUGAACCUCCUCUCUUAUUGUCAUCAUAUUGCAGGUACUUGAUUUUUUUGUCACUUCUUGGAAUCUUGAAAUUAGGUCUUAAUGAAAUUCAUAGUCAGACAUAAAUCUGUAACUGUAAUAAUCAUGUCAGUGCUAUACACAGCUUCACAAGUCACCACUCAUUUCUGAAAAUAUUCUGUCUUGAACAGAAAAAUGUGGAAGGCAUGUCCAGAAGCAAUAUUUUCCUUUGUUGUUUCCUAAAUCAUACCAUUGGCUCCAGAGACAAUAAAA